GACGAACGCUGGCGGCGUGCCUAAUACAUGCAAGUUGAGCGCUGAAGGUUGGUACUUGUACCAACUGGAUGAGCAGCGAACGGGUGAGUAACGCGUGGGGAAUCUGCCUUUGAGCGGGGGACAACAUUUGGAAACGAAUGCUAAUACCGCAUAAAAACUUUAAACACAAGUUUUAAGUUUGAAAGAUGCAAUUGCAUCACUCAAAGAUGAUCCCGCGUUGUAUUAGCUAGUUGGUGAGGUAAAGGCUCACCAAGGCGAUGAUACAUAGCCGACCUGAGAGGGUGAUCGGCCACAUUGGGACUGAGACACGGCCCAAACGCCUACGGGAGGCAGCAGGAGGGAAUCUUCGGCAAUGGACGAAAGUCUGACCGAGCAACGCCGCGUGAGUGAAGAAGGGUGUCGGAUCGUAAAACUCUGUUGGUAGAGAAGAACGUUGGUGAGAGUGGAAAGCUCAUCAAGUGACGGUAACUACCCAGAAAGGGACGGCUAACUACGUG
Molecule: ribosomal RNA, 497 nt
Filed under: uncultured bacterium
Lineage: Bacteria
Description: partial 16S ribosomal RNA
Rfam family: Bacterial small subunit ribosomal RNA
Source: RNAcentral